Long non-coding RNA from Oreochromis aureus, 495 nucleotides. RefSeq lists it as uncharacterized. NCBI's taxonomy places the organism in Eukaryota, Metazoa, Chordata, Actinopteri, Cichliformes, Cichlidae. The record is from RefSeq and is a predicted model, not a curated record. The transcript has 3 exons.
CUCUACAAGUGUGACAUCAGCGGUCAUGGAGAGUCUCCAUCCAGCUGGAUCACUGUCACAGGAAAACCUACAACCACGGUGAUGCCAUUCACCUCGGGCCCACACCCUGAUCUCCCCUCCCUCCAGCUUGGGUUCAGAGUGUUCCUCAUCCUGGUGGUGUUCUGUCCAUACUUCCUGUCCACUCUCCUCAUGGUGUCUUUAUAUCUACACAGAGCCAGAGGAAUUGACCUUUGUGCAUCAAACCUGGCCACUCAACCUGAGCAGGGAUAGGAUGAUGAGUAUGAUGAUGUCAUCACUGAUGUCACUACAGAGCAUCACUUCUGAAUCAGAGCUCCGUUGAGUCUCUAUUGCCUCAGUUAUGCUUCUGUGGGAAAUCUAUGCUGUAAAUAUCCACAUAACCUGAUGUGCACCUCUUGAGAAAUGCAACUACACACACAGCCUGCAAUGACUUGAAUAGCGUGGAAGAUUGUGUUAUGGGGAUAAUGGGAGUUUCCA